UGGCGACCGGCGCACGGGUGAGUAACACGUAUCCAACCUGCCGAUGACUCGGGGAUAGCCUUUCGAAAGAAAGAUUAAUACCCGAUGGCAUAGUUCUUCCGCAUGGUAGAACUAUUAAAGAAUUUCGGUCAUCGAUGGGGAUGCGUUCCAUUAGGUUGUUGGCGGGGUAACGGCCCACCAAGCCUUCGAUGGAUAGGGGUUCUGAGAGGAAGGUCCCCCACAUUGGAACUGAGACACGGUCCAG
Molecule: ribosomal RNA, 244 nt
Filed under: uncultured bacterium
Lineage: Bacteria
Description: partial 16S ribosomal RNA
Rfam family: Bacterial small subunit ribosomal RNA
Source: RNAcentral